RNAcentral lists this ribosomal RNA (631 nucleotides) under uncultured bacterium. RNAcentral describes it as "bacterial SSU rRNA". The stretch from base 1 to 542 matches the Rfam family "Bacterial small subunit ribosomal RNA", at positions 338 to 873 of the family's 1533-position model. The record is from RNAcentral.
CCUACGGGAGGCAGCAGUGGGGAAUUUUGGACAAUGGGCGCAAGCCUGAUCCAGCCAUGCCGCGUGCAGGAUGAAGGCCUUCGGGUUGUAAACUGCUUUUGUACGGAACGAAAAGUCUCUUUCUAAUAAAGAGGGAUCAUGACGGUACCGUAAGAAUAAGCACCGGCUAACUACGUGCCAGCAGCCGCGGUAAUACGUAGGGUGCGAGCGUUAAUCGGAAUUACUGGGCGUAAAGCGUGCGCAGGCGGUUAUAUAAGACAGUUGUGAAAUCCCCGGGCUCAACCUGGGAACUGCAUCUGUGACUGUAUAGCUAGAGUACGGUAGAGGGGGAUGGAAUUCCGCGUGUAGUAGUGAAAUGCGUAGAUAUGCGGAGGAACACCGAUGGCGAAGGCAAUCCCCUGGACCUGUACUGACGCUCAUGCACGAAAGCGUGGGGAGCAAACAGGAUUAGAUACCCUGGUAGUCCACGCCCUAAACGAUGUCAACUGGUUGUUGGGAAUUCACUUUCUCAGUAACGAAGCUAACGCGUGAAGUUGACCGCCUGGGGGAGGUACGGCCGGCGAGUUAGUUAAAGUUAAAGUAAAGUUAGUUAGGCGUUGAGACGNGCGACGGACGACGACGAGGGAGGAGG